CCUACGGGCGGCAGCAGUGAGGAAUAUUGGUCAAUGGCCGAGAGUCUGAACCAGCCAAGUCGCGUGAGGGAAGACGGCCCUACGGGUUGUAAACCUCUUUUGUCAGGGAGCAAGGUGCAGGUCGGGACCUUCUUUGAGAGUACCUUAAGAAAAAGCAUCGGCUAACUCCGUGCCAGCAGCCGCGGUAAUACGGAGGAUGCGAGCGUUAUCCGGAUUUAUUGGGUUUAAAGGGAGCGUAGAUGGGUUGUUAAGUCAGUUGUGAAAGUUUGCGGCUCAACCGUAAAAUUGCAAUUGAUACUGGCAGUCGUGAGUACAGUUGAGGUAGGCGGAAUUCGUGGUGUAGCGGUGAAAUGCUUAGAUAUCACGAAGAACUCCGAUUGCGAAGGCAGCUUACUAAACUGCAACUGACAUUGAUGCUCGAAAGUGUGGGUAUCAAACAGGAUUAGAUACCCCAGUAGUC
RNAcentral lists this ribosomal RNA (460 nucleotides) under uncultured bacterium. RNAcentral's name for it is "partial 16S ribosomal RNA". It matches the Rfam family "Bacterial small subunit ribosomal RNA", at positions 338 to 795 of the family's 1533-position model. The record is from RNAcentral.